This is a long non-coding RNA of Solea solea (common sole), 7921 nucleotides long. RefSeq lists it as uncharacterized. The transcript is spliced from 3 exons. The record is from RefSeq and is a predicted model, not a curated record. Lineage: Eukaryota; Metazoa; Chordata; Actinopteri; Pleuronectiformes; Soleidae.
GUUACAACAGAGUUUCUCCGUUUACACGACAUUCCGGCAGACAUAGCGAGGAGUCCCGGCUCCCCAUGGAUCAUCACCCCCACGGGCAGGCGACGGAAACAGGAGAGGAAGCAAAAGCGAGGCUGCAGGGCCGGCGCGCUAACGAGGCUACGGAGGCAGCCUGUUAAACCACCGCUUCCUAGUGCUUUCCUCACCAACACCAGAUCCCUAGUCAACAAAAUCGACGAACUGAGGCUACAGGUGGCGACCAACAACAUCAUCAAGAACAGCUGCAUUCUGCUUAUCACAGAAUCCUGGCUCCACUCGUCGAUUAUGGACUCCGCUAUCGAGCUAACAGGCUACACGGUACAGCACAGACACUGUUACAGUUGAGAAACAUAUCUAUCCCAACCGGAAACCCUGGCUGACCAGUGAGGUCCAGAAGCUGCUGAAGGAGAGAAACACAGCCUUUAGGUCCGGCGAUGCGGCUCUCAACAGCUCAGCCCGCACCAACCUGAAGAGGGGCAUCCGAGAGGCCAAGUUGGACUAUAAGAGGAAGAUUGAGGAUCACCUGCAGAGCAACAACAGCAGGCAGGUGUGGUUGGGCGUCCAGCACAUCACUAACUACAGGACCAACCUGGGUCCUGUAGUCGGUGACGCAUCACUGGCAGAGGAGCUUAACCACUACUUCGCCCGGUUUGAGGUGGAAACGUCAGAGGCCUCCGGACCUCACCCAGGAAGCGACAACUCCACCUUACGGGUGGAGGAGCAUGAGGUGAGGUGAACACUGCGGUCCGUCCUUUCCCACGGAAAGCAGCCGGACCCGAUGGCAUCUCAGGGCAUGUACUGAAGGACUUUGCUGAUCAGCUGGCCCGGGUCCUCACCAGGAUUUUUAACCAGUCCUUGUACCAGUCCACCCUCCCGUCCUGUCUUAAAUCAUCCAUCAUAGUCCCUCUCCCAAAAAAACAGACUAUUGACAGCGUCAAUGACUACAGGCCAGUAGCAUUGACUCCCGUGGUAAUGAAGUGCUUCGAGAAGCUCAUCAGGAACCACAUCAUGACUUUCAUCCCCCCCUCGUUGGACACACACCAGUUUGCCUACAGAGCUAACAGGUCUACAGAGGACGCCGUGAUCACUGCUCUUCAUGCUGCCCUGUCCCACCUAGAACAUCAGGGGAGCUAUGCACGAAUGCUCUUUAUAGACUUUAUCUCUGCCUUCAACACCAUCCUCCCCCACAGACUGGUGACCAAGCUGUCGGACAUUGGACUACCACACUCCACCUGCCUCUGGAUUAAGGACUUUCUGACAGAGCGCAUUCAGAGGGUCAGAGUGGGCCCCCACAGCCAUCAGCCUCAGCACUGGCUCACCACAGGGCUGUGUGCUGAGCCCCCUCCUUUACACACUCUACACCCACGACUGCACCCCGACCCACCACAGCAAUACCAUCGUUAAGUUCGCUGACGACACCACAGUAGUGGGGCUCAUCUCAGGGGAGGAUGAGUCCACCUACAGGGAGGAGGUGGAGCGACUGACAGCGUGGUGCCGUGACAACAACCUGCUCCUGACCACAACCAAGACCAAGACCAAGGAGCUGGUUGUUGACUUCAGGAGAAAGAGACACAACAUCCAGCCACUCCACAUCAACAGGGUUUGGAGUGUGGAGAGGGUCUCAGACUUCCGCUUCCUGGGACUGCACACUGCGGAGCUAGUAGGGAAAGCCCAGAAGAGACUCUACUUCCUGAGGGUUCUCAGGCAAAACAUCAUUGCAGAGAAACUUCUGGUGUCCUUCUACCGCAGCACUGUAGAGAGCGUCCUGAGCUACUGCCUCUGUGCAUGGUUUAACAGCUGCACAGUAGCACAGAGGAGAGAGCUCCAGAGGGUCAUACGCAUUGCCUAGCGGAUAAUCAGAGGCUGUCUCCUCUCACUGUAAGAUCUGCACAACUCCCACUGCCUCAAGAGUGCUGCUAGGAUCCUCCAAGACCCCUCUCACCCCGGACACGGACUGUUUGAACGUCUACCCUCAGGCAGACGUUUUGGAUGCAUAAGGUCACGCACAAACAGACUUAAAAACAGCUUCUACCCAUCAACCAUAUCUCUACUAAAUGCUAAAUAAUAACAUGUGCAAUCAUUUCAGUACCACUACAGUGCAAUAUAAUAAUGUGCAAUAUUCUCUUCAUUCAUUUGUCCAUUUCAUUCUCACAGCAUAGUAGGUCACAGUAUUGUAUUUUAUUUAUAUUUUAUUCUACAUUUUAUUUUUAUUUUUACAUUUCUCUUACCUUUUAUUUAUUUUUACUUUUUCUUACUUUUAUACGUGUUUUUCCAUACCGGCACUGAAUGUGGACACUUCGCAUUGGACAAUGACAAUAACGUUUUCUGAUUCUGAUUCUGACUCCAGAUGUCUCUGAGCUGCUUACACACCUUCUGUGCAUGUACUACAUGUUACAGCAGUAUUCCACUAGGGGGCACAUCACUUUAAAAACAGAGCGAUUCUAGAAGAGGUGAGUUUGUGGUUACAUUUUGAAAUAAUUACUGCAUGUGUGGCAACAUGUAGUUAGUUGUCCUGGUAACUGUCAGCUGUGCUGCAGUUCCAACCAAUCACGGUGUGAGACUGCCACAUAAAGGCGGGCGUAAAGCACCUGUCAGCCUUUUGCUUGCUGGAGGCUGGGUCGCGUCACUCCUGUGCUUCCUCCAUUUCCGCAUUUUGCUUCUGCUCUGUUUCUUGCCUUCUUUGCCUCAUUUAAAGAAAUCAUUUGGACUGAUCGCUGUGCCUCACUGGAACUGUGUGUUAGCGGGACUAAUUGUUUCGCUUGACUUUGAUUAGCCUUACCUCGGACACUCACCGCUCCACCAGGGCCGACUCGGAUUCUGAUCGCCUUGUCCGCUUAUUCGGCUGCCGAUAGUGUUCGUGCUUCUUCCCGUUGCUCCCAGGGCGAAGCGGUGGCUCGGAACAAUUGCUUAAUCAUCUUUUGGAAAGACUUCGCUCUCGAUUGGAACAUAUUCUGGGACGCAUGCCUCUGGACCUGGACUUCUUAGAUUUCACUUGCACACAAGAACUUGUUUUUUUAAAUGCUGAAUCCAGUCAAGUAACUGUUUGUCCAGCUAUUUUAGAUGUGCUACGCAGCUACACAGUGUUAUCAAUUUGGAAAAAGACAAAAGGGAGCAACACAUUGCAGUUGUGCAGUUUGAGCAAGGAGCAGCAUCUCCAGACUACCUUAGCAAACGUCUGGAACUUAAUCUUAAUCUGUUCCAUGUAUAACUAAACUUUUGGGGGUGUCCAGGCGAACAGUAUACCAGCGCAUGGCUGAGUCUGAUCUCACAGUAAGGGCAUUCUACAGCACUAUGACAGAUGAAGAGUUAGAUCAGUGUGUGAGAGAUUAAAUCCAGGCAGCCUAACUCUGGAUAUGGAAUGAUGAAAGCCCUCCUGCAAGCCAAAGGACUGCUGGUGCAGUAUGACCGUGUCAGAGCCUCCAUGCACCGUGUUGACACCACGGGUGUCAUAAACAGAAUGGUCCAUGUAGGAUGUAUUGCACGACGGACCUACUCAGUUCCAGGACCCCAGUCUUUGAUGCACAUAGAAACAAACCACAAGUUGAUUCGCUACAACAUUCUUGUUUUUGGUGGUGUUGAUGGUUUUUCCCGCCUGAAAGGUUAGCACAAUUGUUUUGACUAAGUGUACAUAUUUAUACAAUUAUUAAAUGAAAUGGAAUGAAAUGGAAUGAAAUUCAAUUCAAUUCAAUUCAAUUCAAUUCAAUUCAAUUCAAUUUUAUUUGUAUAGUGCCAAAUCACAACAUACAUGAUCUCAGGUCUGUACAUAGACAACAUCAAGGAGAGCAGAGAAACCCAACAGUUCACACAAUGAGCAAACACUAGGCAUCAGUGGAGACAAGAAGAACAGUCAAUGAUAUCGACUUUUAAUUAUAGCAGAAUAAUAAUGAUUUGUAUGAUAGCAAUAGCCUCGAAACUGGAUCUGGAUCCUGCAACCUGCAAGAUGAGGAUACAGAGAGAGAUAGAGGGAAGGAAGGAAAGACAAAAACUAGGGAGAGAAAGAGACAAGGUUAAUGACAUAUUUAAGUCAUAUUCAUACCCCUGAGUGUGAGAGAGUGAAUGUGACAGAGUGAGUGUGAGUGCACCACAGGAAAAUCCCCCAACAGUUUAGGUCUAUAGCAGCAUAACUAACUAUAAGCUUUAUCAAAAAGGAAAGUUUUAAGUCCAACUUUAAAUACAGAGAGAGGCUUUCUAAUUUUCAUAAUGUUCCGCAGGUGGAAGAAGGCUGUUCUGGAAAUUAGUUUUAUGUGUGAAUCAAAUGACAUUUCCUGGUCAAAAAUAACUCCAAGGUUCCUCACAGUAGAACAGGAAGCCAUGGUGAUGUCAUCUAAAGUGACAAUGUGAUCAGAAAGUUUUUCUCUGAGGUGUUUAGGGCCGAGUAUAAAAGUUUAAAAGUCAGUUUUUUCUGAGUUUAAAAGUAGAACGUUACAGGUCAUCCAGGACUUAAUGUUUCUGAGACAUUCCUGGAGUUGAACAACCUGAUUUAUUUCAUCCGGCCUCAUUGAUAAAUAUAGCUGUGUGUCAUCUGCAUAACAAUGAAAGUGUAUGUUGUGCUUCCUAAUAAUGUUCCCUAGAGGAAGCAUAUAUAAGGUAACAAGUAUAGGCCCAUGCACUGAGCCUUGUGGAACUCCACAAUUAACUUUUGUUUGUAGUGAGACUUUAUUAUUAACAUGAACAAACUGGAAUCUAUCAGAUAAGUAUGAUUUAAACCAGCAGAGGGCAGCACCUGUGAUCCCAAGAGUCUGCUCCAAUCUCUGCAGUAGAAUAUUAUGAUCAAUGGUGUCAAAUGCAGCACUAAGAUCUAACAGGACAAGUAAAGAAACCAGACCAUUAUCUGAGUUACUAACUUUAACUAGUGCUGUUUAACUAGUGCUAUGGUUUAAUCUAAAACCUGACUGAAAAUCUUCAAACAGGCCAUUUAUGUGCAAAUAUUCACAUAAUUAAUUAGCAACUGCCUUUUCUAAGAUUUUAGAAACAAAGGGAAGAUUAGAUAGGUCAGUAAUUAGCUAAAAUAUCUGGGUCAAGGGUCGCUUUUUUGAGAAGGGGUUUAAUAACUGCUAUUUUAAACAUUUGGGGCACAUAUCCAGUUAAUAAGGAUAGAUUAGAGUCAAUAUUGAGCUGUUAAUUAAAGGAAACACAUCUUUAAACAGUUAAGUGGGGAUAGGAUCUAACUGACAGGUGAUGGUUUGGAUGAAACUAAUGAUGUUAACUCAGGGAGAUCUAUAGGGGAGAAACUGUCUAACUGUGCACCUGGUGCUUCUAAAGCUCUUGUGCUAAAAGAUGAGUCAGUCCCAAUAUGAGGGAGGAGAUGAUCCAUUUUUUCUCUAAUUGAUGUUAUUUUAUUCACAAAACAGUUCAUAAAGUCAUCACUGCUCAGUGUUAAAGGAAUAGAUGGUUCAGUGGAGCUGUGGCUCUGUGUCAGACUGGCUACAGUGCUGAAAAGAAAUCUAUGAUUAUUCUUAUUUUCUUCAAUUAAGGAAGAAGAAUAGGCAACUCUAGCUUUGUGUAGGGCUUUUUUGUAAGCUACAGAACCAUCUUUCCAGGCUAUGUAAAAUUCCUCUAGAUUACUGGAACACCAUUUUCUUUCUAAUCUACGUAACGCCUGUUUAAGAGCGCAAGUAUCAGAGUUAACCAUGGUGCACGUCUCAUCUGAUUCACCACUUUCUUUUUCAGAGGGGCAACGUAAUCUAAUGUAGUACGCAGUGAGGCCGCUGUACUAUCAACAAGGUUAUCUAUGAGGGCGGGAGUACAAUCACAAAAGGUACCUUCAGAUGUACUGAUAUAUGGCACCGAGUUAAAUAAAGGUUGCACUGUCUCUUUGAAUAUAUUAAUAUUUUUAUUUUUUAUUUAUGUUAUUGUAGUUCAUUAUUGUACAAUUAAAUGUGAGUAAAUAAUGAUCAGUAAGGAGAGGGUUUUGAGGAACUAUGUUUGUUAUCAAUAUCAAUACCAUAGGUUAAAACAAGAUCGAGGGUGUGACUAAGGCAAUGAGUUGGUUUAUUAACGUGUUGAAUAAAACCAAUUGAUUCCAACGAAUCAGCGAGUUAAAUGCGCAGCUAAGACUAUCACGGUCAACAUCUACAUGGAUGUUGAAAUCCCCUACAAUUAUGAUUUUAUCUGUCUUAAGUACUAACUCAGAUAAGAACUCAGAGAACUCUGAUAGGAACUCUGAAUAAGGUGCAGGUGGACGAUAAACUGUGACUAUCAUAAUUGGUUUCUGGGAUUUCCAACUAGGAUGAGAAAGGUUAAGAAUAAGGCUUUCAAACGAUGAAUAUCCUGGUUUGGGUUUGGGAUUGAUUAAUAAUCUAGUAUUAAAAAUGGCUGCUACACCUCCUUCUAGGAAUAUGGGUAUUAACAUGAGUGGGUGGAGUUGACUCAUUUAGACUAACGUAAUCUUCUUCAUGUAACCAAGUUUCAGUUACACAGAAUAAAUCAAUACAACCUGACUGAGGGAUACCUGACUGAGGGAUAAAUCAUACAGUCAGUCCCCGGUUCCUCUCACACACACACAUACAUGUCUGUAAAUGUAAAAUGAAAAGAAAGUGCAAGUUAGCUAACAACGUGUCAUUUUGUAAACAAAAAUCAAAGAAAACACCGUCAACUAUUUAUGAAAAAGGACGUGCUCGACCGUUCGGGAGCUAUAUGCUUACCAAAAUUACAACUUAAACCGCCCCUUAAUAUUAAAAUGUACGUAAUUAAUAUGAAAAAAUGGCAGAGCUCAUAGUUCACGCACCUACCAGGGAGACAGCGAGGUCCGACUGCUGUUACCCCCCCGGGGUGCACUACCCUAAUUCACAGGGGUGUUGCAUUUAAUUACCAUAGGACAAAUAAGUUCUAUGGUAAGUUAAGUUCUAAGUUGUUGUGAGAUGACUUUUCUCUUUUCAUGGCAAGUGGAAUCACACUACAUCUUAACUCCGUUACACUUAUAUUUAAUAGUCCACAUUUAAAAGUGGUAUUAUUUGACUCUAUUUUAUUGUCAGUAUUAAUCUUUAUUAGAAGAGGAGUUAAACAUUCUAACUCCUCUAUAUAGUCAAAAUAUAGACAUUUCUGGCCAAAGUAACAAUAAUAAUGGCAAGGUCAUCAAUUCAUAGUCAAAGUCAAGAGUAGACCAUCCUUUAUGAAUGCUAAUUUUCCAGCACUAUAACAGUGUAUGUUCCUUAACUUUCCUAAGUCACUAAUAGGCCUGAACAGCACCUAUCAUCUGUAACCAUUGCAGAUGUUGCAGACAUUUUUGUGCAGACAGGACAUUCCUGCAUAUCUGCUGCUGAAAUGUUGAGAAGUUACAAGUAAGAACAGUGAUUUUCUGUUGUUUAAUAUUAUACAAUAUGCUCACAAAAACUGAAAAAUAAGAAUUCUUACAUUUUCUCUCUUCAAGCUCACCGUUAUCCACAUUCGCCGGGUUAUCGUCAUUGCCAGCAUCCGUGACAUUACAAGACUUGAUGUGUUCUGUUAGAAGAGAAAGGGGAACAUCACCAUUACUAUUGUGCUAUAUAUAAAAAUCGAUAUCAAUAAAAUUUUUAUCAACACUCUCUGCUGCUGCUUUAUAAAUUACAUUGUAUUGCUAUAAACAUGUCAUCAUUGGCUGUAUAAACUUGUAACUUGAUACAGUUGUGUAUCUGCCCCUGGUCUCUCUCUCUCUUCUGUCUCUACCUCAUCUCCCUCUUGUCCUUUCUCUCCCCCCUUUCUGUCCCCCACCUCUCCUCUGUCCCCCAUUUUCUUUCACCCCAACCGGUCGAGGCAGAUGACUGCACAUCUCUGAGCCUGGUUCUGUCAGAGAUUUCUUCUGGUAGUUUUUUCUCUCCACUGAUGCCUAGUGUUUGCUCAUUGUGUGAACUGUUGGGGUUCUCUGCUCUCCUUGAUGUUGUCUAUGUACAGUGCCUUGAGAUAAUGUAUGUUAUGA